UGAAUUUGAUUCAGUACUGACUACGGCCUA
This 30-nucleotide non-coding RNA is filed under the name Homo sapiens (human). The record is from RNAcentral. Lineage: Eukaryota; Metazoa; Chordata; Mammalia; Primates; Hominidae.